RNAcentral lists this ribosomal RNA (2925 nucleotides) under Salmonella enterica subsp. enterica serovar Enteritidis. RNAcentral describes it as "partial 23S ribosomal RNA". It matches the Rfam family "Bacterial large subunit ribosomal RNA". Lineage: Bacteria; Pseudomonadati; Pseudomonadota; Gammaproteobacteria; Enterobacterales; Enterobacteriaceae. The record is from RNAcentral.
GGGUUGUGAGGUUAAGCGACUAAGCGUACACGGUGGAUGCCCUGGCAGUCAGAGGCGAUGAAGGGCGUGCUAAUCUGCGAUAAGCGCCGGUAAGGUGAUAUGAACCGUUAUAACCGGCGAUACCCGAAUGGGGAAACCCAGUGUGAUUCGUCACACUAUCAUUAACUGAAUCCAUAGGUUAAUGAGGCGAACCGGGGGAACUGAAACAUCUAAGUACCCCGAGGAAAAGAAAUCAACCGAGAUUCCCCCAGUAGCGGCGAGCGAACGGGGAGGAGCCCAGAGCCUGAAUCAGCAUGUGUGUUAGUGGAAGCGUCUGGAAAGGCGCGCGAUACAGGGUGACAGCCCCGUACACAAAAGCGCAUGUGCUGUGAGCUCGAUGAGUAGGGCGGGACACGUGGUAUCCUGUCUGAAUAUGGGGGGACCAUCCUCCAAGGCUAAAUACUCCUGACUGACCGAUAGUGAACCAGUACCGUGAGGGAAAGGCGAAAAGAACCCCGGCGAGGGGAGUGAAAAAGAACCUGAAACCGUGUACGUACAAGCAGUGGGAGCACAGGUUUACCUGUGUGACUGCGUACCUUUUGUAUAAUGGGUCAGCGACUUAUAUUCUGUAGCAAGGUUAACCGAAUAGGGGAGCCGGAGGGAAACCGAGUCUUAAUUGGGCGUUAAGUUGCAGGGUAUAGACCCGAAACCCGGUGAUCUAGCCAUGGGCAGGUUGAAGGUUGGGUAACACUAACUGGAGGACCGAACCGACUAAUGUUGAAAAAUUAGCGGAUGACCUGUGGCUGGGGGUGAAAGGCCAAUCAAACCGGGAGAUAGCUGGUUCUCCCCGAAAGCUAUUUAGGUAGCGCCUCGUGAAUUCAUCUCCGGGGGUAGAGCACUGUUUCGGCUAGGGGGCCAUCCCGGCUUACCAACCCGAUGCAAACUGCGAAUACCGGAGAAUGUUAUCACGGGAGACACACGGCGGGUGCUAACGUCCGUCGUGAAGAGGGAAACAACCCAGACCGCCAGCUAAGGUCCCAAAGUCAUGGUUAAGUGGGAAACGAUGUGGGAAGGCCCAGACAGCCAGGAUGUUGGCUUAGAAGCAGCCAUCAUUUAAAGAAAGCGUAAUAGCUCACUGGUCGAGUCGGCCUGCGCGGAAGAUGUAACGGGGCUAAACCAUGCACCGAAGCUGCGGCAGCGACACUGUGUGUUGUUGGGUAGGGGAGCGUUCUGUAAGCCUGUGAAGGUGUGUCGUGAGGCAUGCUGGAGGUAUCAGAAGUGCGAAUGCUGACAUAAGUAACGAUAAAGCGGGUGAAAAGCCCGCUCGCCGGAAGACCAAGGGUUCCUGUCCAACGUUAAUCGGGGCAGGGUGAGUCGACCCCUAAGGCGAGGCCGAAAGGCGUAGUCGAUGGGAAACGGGUUAAUAUUCCCGUACUUGGUGUUACUGCGAAGGGGGGACGGAGAAGGCUAUGUUGGCCGGGCGACGGUUGUCCCGGUUUAAGCGUGUAGGUGUGUGUUCCAGGUAAAUCCGGUUCACUUUAACACUGAGGCGUGACGACGAGGCACUACGGUGCUGAAGCAACAAAUGCCCUGCUUCCAGGAAAAGCCUCUAAGCAUCAGGUAACAUCAAAUCGUACCCCAAACCGACACAGGUGGUCAGGUAGAGAAUACCAAGGCGCUUGAGAGAACUCGGGUGAAGGAACUAGGCAAAAUGGUGCCGUAACUUCGGGAGAAGGCACGCUGACACGUAGGUGAAGUGAUUUACUCAUGGAGCUGAAGUCAGUCGAAGAUACCAGCUGGCUGCAACUGUUUAUUAAAAACACAGCACUGUGCAAACACGAAAGUGGACGUAUACGGUGUGACGCCUGCCCGGUGCCGGAAGGUUAAUUGAUGGGGUCAGCGCAAGCGAAGCUCCUGAUCGAAGCCCCGGUAAACGGCGGCCGUAACUAUAACGGUCCUAAGGUAGCGAAAUUCCUUGUCGGGUAAGUUCCGACCUGCACGAAUGGCGUAAUGAUGGCCAGGCUGUCUCCACCCGAGACUCAGUGAAAUUGAACUCGCUGUGAAGAUGCAGUGUACCCGCGGCAAGACGGAAAGACCCCGUGAACCUUUACUAUAGCUUGACACUGAACAUUGAGCCUUGAUGUGUAGGAUAGGUGGGAGGCUUUGAAGUGUGGACGCCAGUCUGCAUGGAGCCGACCUUGAAAUACCACCCUUUAAUGUUUGAUGUUCUAACGUGGACCCGUUACCCGGGUUGCGGACAGUGUCUGGUGGGUAGUUUGACUGGGGCGGUCUCCUCCUAAAGAGUAACGGAGGAGCACGAAGGUUGGCUAAUCCUGGUCGGACAUCAGGAGGUUAGUGCAAUGGCAUAAGCCAGCUUGACUGCGAGCGUGACGGCGCGAGCAGGUGCGAAAGCAGGUCAUAGUGAUCCGGUGGUUCUGAAUGGAAGGGCCAUCGCUCAACGGAUAAAAGGUACUCCGGGGAUAACAGGCUGAUACCGCCCAAGAGUUCAUAUCGACGGCGGUGUUUGGCACCUCGAUGUCGGCUCAUCACAUCCUGGGGCUGAAGUAGGUCCCAAGGGUAUGGCUGUUCGCCAUUUAAAGUGGUACGCGAGCUGGGUUUAGAACGUCGUGAGACAGUUCGGUCCCUAUCUGCCGUGGGCGCUGGAGAACUGAGGGGGGCUGCUCCUAGUACGAGAGGACCGGAGUGGACGCAUCACUGGUGUUCGGGUUGUCAUGCCAAUGGCACUGCCCGGUAGCUAAAUGCGGAAGAGAUAAGUGCUGAAAGCAUCUAAGCACGAAACUUGCCCCGAGAUGAGUUCUCCCUGAGACUUAGAGUCUCCUGAAGGAACGUUGAAGACGACGACGUUGAUAGGCCGGGUGUGUAAGCGCAGCGAUGCGUUGAGCUAACCGGUACUAAUGAACCGUGAGGCUUAACCUUACAACGCCG